GACGAGCGGCGGACGGGUGAGUAAUGUCUGGGAAACUGCCUGAUGGAGGGGGAUAACUACUGGAAACGGUAGCUAAUACCGCAUAACGUCGCAAGACCAAAGAGGGGGACUUCGGGCCUCUUGCCAUCAGAUGUGCCCAGAUGGGAUUAGCUAGUAGGUGGGGUAAUGGCUCACCUAGGCGACGAUCCCUAGCUGGUCUGAGAGGAUGACCAGCCACACUGGAACUGGGACACGGUCCAGACUCCUACGGGAGGCAGCAGUGGGGAAUAUUGCACAAUGGGCGCAAGCCUGAUGCAGCCAUGCCGCGUGUAUGAAGAAGGCCUUCGGGUUGUAAAGUACUUUCAGCGGGGAGGAAGGUGUUGUGGUUAAUAACCACAGCAAUUGACGUUACCCGCAGAAGAAGCACCGGCUAACUCCGUGCCAGCAGCCGCGGUAAUACGGAGGGUGCAAGCGUUAAUCGGAAUUACUGGGCGUAAAGCGCACGCAGGCGGUCUGUCAAGUCGGAUGUGAAAUCCCCGGGCUCAACCUGGGAACUGCAUUCGAAACUGGCAGGCUAGAGUCUUGUAAGGGGGGUAGAAUUCCAGGUGUAGCGGUGAAAUG
Molecule: ribosomal RNA, 600 nt
Filed under: uncultured bacterium
Lineage: Bacteria
Description: bacterial SSU rRNA
Rfam family: Bacterial small subunit ribosomal RNA
Source: RNAcentral